GACGAACGCUGGCGGCGUGCCUAAUACAUGCCAGUAGAACGCUGAAGGAGGAGCUUGCUUCUCUGGAUGAGUUGCGAACGGGUGAGUAACGCGUAGGUAACCUGCCUGGUAGCGGGGGAUAACUAUUGGAAACGAUAGCUAAUACCGCAUAAUAUUGACUAUUGCAUGAUAGUCAGUUGAAAGGUGCAACUGCACCACUACCAGAUGGACCUGCGUUGUAUUAGCUAGUUGGUGGGGUAACGGCUCACCAAGGCGACGAUACAUAGCCGGCCUGGGAGGGGGAUCGGCCACACUGGGAAUGAGACAGGGCCCAGAGUGCUACGGGAGGCAGCAGUAGGGAAUCUUCGGCAAUGGACGGAAGUCUGACCGAGAAACGCCGCGUGAGUGAAGAAGGUUUUCGGAUCGUAAAGCUCUGUUGUAAGAGAAGAACGAGUGUGAGAGUGGAAAGCUCACACUGUGACGGUAUCUUACCAGAAAGGGACGGCUAACUACGUG
This 495-nucleotide ribosomal RNA is filed under the name uncultured bacterium. RNAcentral describes it as "partial 16S ribosomal RNA". It matches the Rfam family "Bacterial small subunit ribosomal RNA", at positions 28 to 507 of the family's 1533-position model. The record is from RNAcentral.